RNAcentral lists this long non-coding RNA (263 nucleotides) under Elaeis guineensis (African oil palm). RNAcentral's name for it is "long non-coding RNA (EGUI_LNC045321)". Lineage: Eukaryota; Viridiplantae; Streptophyta; Magnoliopsida; Arecales; Arecaceae. The record is from RNAcentral.
AUCAAAUUCAAUAAGCCUUUCAAUCUAAAAUAAAAGUAUGAAGAUUCUGCUUCUAAUCACUCUUCCAUUCAUAUCUUGUAUCAUCUUAAUUCUUCAACGUCUGUAAAAACAGUAAAUAGGAGGUAAUGAGCUAGACAGCCCAGUAAGCAAUGAUCACUUCUCAACAGAUUUCAUCAGGCAUUUAAGUAAAUAAUCAUUUAUAGAAAAUAAGCAUAUAGAGUUCAUCAAUUCGAAAUCAAUUUCAAUUAUGCAACAUAAUUCAU